UGGGGAUUAUUGCACAACGGGCGAAAGCCUGAUGCAGCGACGCCGCGUGAGGGAUGACGGCCUUCGGGUUGUAAACCUCUUUCAGUAGGGAAGAAGCGAAAGUGAUGGUACCUGCAGAAGAAGCGCCGGCUAACCACGUGCCAGCAGCCGCGGUAAUACGUAGGGCGCAAGCGUUAUCCGGAAUUAUUGGGCGUCAAGAGCUCGUAGGCGGUUUGUCGCGUCUGCCGUGAAAGUCCGGGGCUCAACUACGGAUCUGCGGUGGGUACUGGCAGACUAGAGUGAUGUAGGGGAGACUGGAAUUCCUGGUGUAGCGGUGGAAUGCGGAGGUAUCAGGAGGAACACCGAUGGCGAAGGCAGGUCUCUGGGCAUUAACUGACGCUGAGGAGCGAAAGCAUGGGGAGCGAACAGG
This 409-nucleotide ribosomal RNA is filed under the name bacterium. Its description in RNAcentral is "partial 16S ribosomal RNA". It matches the Rfam family "Bacterial small subunit ribosomal RNA", at positions 355 to 776 of the family's 1533-position model. The record is from RNAcentral.